Molecule: long non-coding RNA, 2001 nt
Organism: Mus musculus (house mouse)
Lineage: Eukaryota; Metazoa; Chordata; Mammalia; Rodentia; Muridae
Product: predicted gene, 41374
Exons: 3
Source: RefSeq, a predicted model, not a curated record
GCACCACCACUGCCCAGCUCAGCUUGCUUUCUUACAUCAUCCAGGUCCACCUGUCCAGAUGUGACACUACCCACAGUCACCUAGGCCCUCCCACACUAAUUAUCAAUCAAAACAUUGUCCCACAGGUUUGCCCACUGUUCAAUCUAGUGGGGGCAUUUUCCCAAUUGAGGUUCCCUUUUUUCAGAUGACACUAGCUUGUGUCAAGUUGACAUAAAACUAACCAGACACUAUCAUGAAUGGACAGUGACCUAACAACUAGCUAACCCAGGCUCCUUUGUCAUCAGGGCAGUGACAGGCUUCACCGUGAUGGGGUACACUCUAAGAGAGAGAGCUAACUGGGAAAACCUUGUGUCACCAGGACCCUACUAUGUCCAGCCACUGUGUCCAGCCUGGCUGUGUGUGUGUGUGUGUGUGUGUGUGUGUGUGUGUGUGUGUGUAGGAGGCAUGCAGGCAGGUCCUUGGGCUUACAUAUAAGCAUUAGGGGAACCAGGAAUGUUAAACACACAGUUGUCUCCUCCAAGAGAGAGAGGUAUAACCUGUUUUCUAGCCAGAAAAUGUCUGGCUGGGAGCAGUCAUUGUUCAUAGCCUGGUGACCUUUGUGCUAUUUCUGUGGCCGGGCUUUCCUCCACAAGACCCUUAUCUUGAGCCUACUUUCUCAGUUAAUAUCUUACAGAAGAUGUCAUUGUACUUUACAAAGAGUCUCGAUGUAGUCACAUCCUAAGCUUUGUUGUGUACACGGGAUUGAGUUCAAGAUCGCCAGGAAAACUUCCACCAAAUUGUGCUGUGCUUAAAUAUACCUAAAAGAAAUCACUCAAGUUCAGAUUCUCGAAGGGCGAACCAACUUUGGCUCCUGAAUUGAACUGAACUGCCUUCUUGGCUCUCUCAGAUCUGCUGGCUGUGGUAUUUGCAGAGACCCCUGCAGUGAGGAUAGGGGUGUGUACACAAUGACUACAGGCUGACUUGGAACCUUCUAGACGCGGCGGCUGUGGCUGUUGAUCUUGGAUCAGUGCAGCAGGAGUUUCCUGUGGGGUAGUCUCUCUAUUGGGGGCAGCUCACCGGUGCCUUUGCCAUCACAGACAGUUCCACUGUAUUGCCCAGGUCAAAGCCCACUAAGGACCCAUCUUCAGUGGCUAUUCGUGUGGCUUUAUAACCCUACAGCCCUGCUCUAUAUGUGAGUCACAGCACAGAGAAGCAGAGCAAAGUCACCAGAACAAGAUGUCAUAUCUGCCAAGAUCCUUGCUUCAAAUGGAGAAACUGAGGCUGUGUGCUAUCUCACAGCAGCCAUCUUUGAUUCAUGUUGAUGCUACUGGCUGUCCCCCAGAGGCAUAUUGGGGACAGAGGAACACAGUGUAGUGUUCCUCCACCAGCUUUCUCCCUGUCUGGGAACCCCACCAACCUCUGGAGUCCUGGAAAGAUUCAUGUGUAUUCAGGUCCCACUGAGUGCCUCCCCAAAUGACAGCACCCCGUAACUUUCAUUUUUAAAAAAACCUAAUUUUUAAUGAUGGUUCUUGUAGCCCGCCACUCACCAGAGGUAGUGGAAAAGAAAGAUGGGGGAGAAGUGGACCUCUUUAGAAAGUUCUUUGGAAGUCGGCAAUUUAGUUCACAAGUCAGCAGCGGCAGCUCAAUCCACUCGCAAAACACUUCACGGAUACAACAGCGGUCCAGUUCACUGAACCAGCAGCGGUGGCGCUACCUAGCAGAGACAGCCGGCCUCAGUGUCAGCACAAGGCAGCAGGAGGGACCAGGAGGAACACCAGGAGAAGUUGUGCCUCUCUCUCAGGGAAGCAAAGAAUAGCAAAGACUCAAAACCAACAAACAUUGCACAGCUAGCUCUAUAAGCAAGCCAAGCUCAGCCUCCACUACUGCCCAUUUAUCCCCCUCCAAACACCACGUGUCCCCCACGAGUCUUGCCUCAGUACAUGUCUUGCCUUAGCAUGUGUGUCUGUCUCAGCUGACAUCACUCUGCCAAUCAGCCUGAGUCUGAGGAAGCCGCAAGAAACU